Molecule: ribosomal RNA, 439 nt
Filed under: uncultured bacterium
Lineage: Bacteria
Description: partial 16S ribosomal RNA
Rfam family: Bacterial small subunit ribosomal RNA
Source: RNAcentral
CUACGGGGGGCACCAGUGAGGAAUAUUGCACAAUGGGGGGAACCCUGAUGCAGCAACGCCGCGUGGAGGAUGACGCAUUUCGGUGUGUAAACUCCUUUUAUAUGUCAAGAAAAUGACGGUAGCAUAUGAAUAAGCACCGGCUAACUCCGUGCCAGCAGCCGGGGUAAUACGGAGGGUGCAAGCGUUACUCGGAAUCACUGGGCGUAAGGGACGCGUAGGCGGGUUGGAAAGUCAGGUGUGAAAUCCUACAGCUUAACUGUAGAACUGCACUUGAAACUUCUAAUCUAGAGUAUGGGAGGGGGAGAUGGAAUUAGUGGUGUAGGGGUAAAAUCCGUAGAUAUCACUAGGAAUACCUAAAGCGAAGGCGAUCUCCUGGAACAUUACUGACGCUAAGGCGUGAAAGCGUGGGGAGCAAACAGGAUUAGAUACCCCCGUAGUC